GACGAACGCUGGCGGCGUGCUUAACACAUGCAAGUCGAACGGAAAGGCCCUGCUUUUGUGGGGUGUUCGAGUGGCGAACGGGUGAGUAACACGUGAGUAACCUGCCCUUGACUUUGGGAUAACUUCAGGAAACUGGGGCUAAUACCGGAUAGGAGCUCCUGCUGCAUGGUGGGGGUUGGAAAGUUUCGGCGGUUGGGGAUGGACUCGCGGCUUAUCAGCUUGUUGGUGGGGUAGUGGCUUACCAAGGCUUUGACGGGUAGCCGGCCUGAGAGGGUGACCGGCCACAUGGGGACUGAGAGACGGCCCAGACUCCUACGGGAGGCAGCAGUGGGGAAUAUUGCACAAUGGGCGGAAGCCUGAUGCAGCAACGCCGCGUGCGUGAUGACGGCCUUCGGGUUAUAAACCGCUUUCGCCUGUGACGAAGCGUGAGUGACGGUAAUGGGUAAAGAAGCACCGGCUAACUACGUG
Molecule: ribosomal RNA, 468 nt
Filed under: uncultured bacterium
Lineage: Bacteria
Description: partial 16S ribosomal RNA
Rfam family: Bacterial small subunit ribosomal RNA
Source: RNAcentral